Molecule: ribosomal RNA, 449 nt
Filed under: uncultured bacterium
Lineage: Bacteria
Description: bacterial SSU rRNA
Rfam family: Bacterial small subunit ribosomal RNA
Source: RNAcentral
GUCGAGGAUUUUUCUCAAUGGGGGAAACCCUGAAGGAGCGACGCCGCGUGGGGGAUGAAGGUCUUCGGAUUGUAAACCCCUGUCAUCUGGGAACAAAGCGCUCCACCUAACACGUGGAUCGUUGAUAGUACCGGAAGAGGAAGCCGUGGCUAACUCUGUGCCAGCAGCCGCGGUAAUACAGAGACGGCAAGCGUUGUUCGGAUUCAUUGGGCGUAAAGGGUGCGUAGGCGGUCGGCUAAGUCGGGUGUGAAAUCUCACAGCCUAACUGUGAUAGGUCAUUCGAAACUGGCUGGCUCGAGGACUGGAGAGGAGACUGGAAUGGUCGGUGUAGCGGUGAAAUGCGUAGAGAUCGACCAGAACACCGGUGGCGAAGGCGGGUCUCUGGACAGUUCCUGACGCUGAGGCACGAAAGCCAGGGGAGCAAACGGGAUUAGAAACCCCAGUAGUCC